RNAcentral lists this ribosomal RNA (207 nucleotides) under uncultured bacterium. RNAcentral's name for it is "partial 16S ribosomal RNA". It matches the Rfam family "Bacterial small subunit ribosomal RNA", at positions 568 to 774 of the family's 1533-position model. The record is from RNAcentral.
CGUGUAGGCGGUUUGGUAAGUCGGAUGUGAAAGCCUUCUGCUUAACAGAAGAAGUGCAUUCGAUACUGCUUUACUUGAGUAUGGGAGAGGAGAGUGGAAUUCCCAGUGUAGAGGUGAAAUUCGUAGAUAUUGGGAGGAACACCCGUGGCGAAGGCGACUCUCUGGACCAAUACUGACGCUGAGACGCGAAAGCGUGGGGAGCAAACA